GACGAACGCUGGCGGCGUGCCUAAUACAUGCAAGUCGAACGAGAGCGCCCGGUGCUUGCACUGGUCAAUCUAGUGGCGAACGGGUGAGUAACACGUGGGUAACCUGCCCAUCAGAGGGGGAUAACAUCCGGAAACGGAUGCUAAAACCGCAUAGGUCUUCGAACCGCAUGGUUUGAAGAGGAAAAGAGGCGCAAGCUUCUGCUGAUGGAUGGACCCGCGGUGCAUUAGCUAGUUGGUGAGGUAACGGCUCACCAAGGCCGUGAUGCAUAGCCGACCUGAGAGGGUGAUCGGCCACAUUGGGACUGAGACACGGCCCAAACUCCUACGGGAGGCAGCAGUAGGGAAUCUUCCGCAAUGGACGCAAGUCUGACGGAGCAACGCCGCGUGAGUGAAGAAGGUUUUCGGAUCGUAAAACUCUGUUGUUAGAGAAGAACAAGUGCUAGAGUAACUGUUAGCGCCUUGACGGUAUCCAACCAGAAAGCCACGGCUAACUACGUG
This 498-nucleotide ribosomal RNA is filed under the name uncultured bacterium. RNAcentral's name for it is "partial 16S ribosomal RNA". It matches the Rfam family "Bacterial small subunit ribosomal RNA", at positions 28 to 507 of the family's 1533-position model. The record is from RNAcentral.